AUGAACGCUGGCGGCGUGCCUAAUACAUGCAAGUCGAGCGAACAGACGAGGAGCUUGCUCCUCUGACGUUAGCGGCGGACGGGUGAGUAACACGUGGAUAACCUACCUAUAAGACUGGGAUAACUUCGGGAAACCGGAGCUAAUACCGGAUAAUAUAUUGAACCGCAUGGUUCAAUAGUGAAAGACGGUUUUGCUGUCACUUAUAUAUGGAUCCGCGCCGCAUUAGCUAGUUGGUAAGGUAACGGCUUACCAAGGCGACGAUGCGUAGCCGACCUGAGAGGGUGAUCGGCCACACUGGAACUGAGACACGGUCCAGACUCCUACGGGAGGCAGCAGUAGGGAAUCUUCCGCAAUGGGCGAAAGCCUGACGGAGCAACGCCGCGUGAGUGAUGAAGGUCUUCGGAUCGUAAAACUCUGUUAUUAGGGAAGAACAAAUGUGUAAGUAACUAUGCACGUCUUGACGGUACCUAAUCAGAAAGCCACGGCUAACUACGUG
This 496-nucleotide ribosomal RNA is filed under the name uncultured bacterium. Its description in RNAcentral is "partial 16S ribosomal RNA". It matches the Rfam family "Bacterial small subunit ribosomal RNA", at positions 29 to 507 of the family's 1533-position model. The record is from RNAcentral.